This 253-nucleotide ribosomal RNA is filed under the name uncultured bacterium. RNAcentral describes it as "partial 16S ribosomal RNA". It matches the Rfam family "Bacterial small subunit ribosomal RNA", at positions 524 to 776 of the family's 1533-position model. The record is from RNAcentral.
UACGUAGGGGGCAAGCGUUGUCCGGAAUCAUUGGGCGUAAAGAGCGUGUAGGCGGCCCGAUAAGUCCGCUGUGAAAGUCCAGGGCUCAACCCUGGGAUGCCGGUGGAUACUGUCAGGCUCGAGUCCGGAAGAGGAGUGUGGAAUUCCUGGUGUAGCGGUGAAAUGCGCAGAUAUCAGGAGGAACACCAAUGGCGAAGGCAGCACUCUGGGACGUGACUGACGCUGAGACGCGAAAGCGUGGGGAGCAAACAGG